RNAcentral lists this ribosomal RNA (253 nucleotides) under uncultured bacterium. RNAcentral's name for it is "partial 16S ribosomal RNA". It matches the Rfam family "Bacterial small subunit ribosomal RNA", at positions 524 to 776 of the family's 1533-position model. The record is from RNAcentral.
UACGGAGGGUGCAAGCGUUAUCCGGAUUCACUGGGUUUAAAGGGUGCGUAGGUGGGUUGGUAAGUCAGUGGUGAAAUCCCCGAGCUUAACUUGGGAACUGCCAUUGAUACUAUAUAUCUUGAAUGUCGUGGAGGUUAGCGGAAUAUGUCAUGUAGCGGUGAAAUGCUUAGAUAUGACAUAGAACACCCAUUGCGAAGGCAGCUAACUACGCGAAUAUUGACGCUGAGGCACGAAAGCGUGGGGAGCAAACCGG